Molecule: ribosomal RNA, 387 nt
Filed under: uncultured bacterium
Lineage: Bacteria
Description: bacterial SSU rRNA
Rfam family: Bacterial small subunit ribosomal RNA
Source: RNAcentral
ACGAACGCUGGCGGCGUGCUUAACACAUGCAAGUCGAGCGGUAAGGCCCUUUCGGGGGUACACGAGCGGCGAACGGGUGAGUAACACGUGGGUGACCUGCCCUCAGCUCUGGGAUAAGCCUGGGAAACCGGGUCUAAUACCGGAUAUGACUCCAUGACGCAUGUUGUGGGGUGGAAAGCCUUGUGCGGCUGAGGAUGGGCCCGCGGCCUAUCAGCUUGUUGGUGGGGNGAUGGCCUACCAAGGCGACGACGGGUAGCCGGCCUGAGAGGGCGACCGGCCACACUGGGACUGAGACACGGCCCAGACUCCUACGGGAGGCAGCAGUGGGGAAUCUUGCGCAAUGGGCGAAAGCCUGACGCAGCGACGCCGCGUGAGGGAUGACGGCCU